GUGGUAUCCUGUCUGAAUAUGGGGGGACCAUCCUCCAAGGCUAAAUACUCCUGACUGACCGAUAGUGAACCAGUACCGUGAGGGAAAGGCGAAAAGAACCCCGGUGAGGGGAGUGAAAAAGAACCUGAAACCGUGUACGUACAAGCAGUGGGAGCCUCUUUAUGGGGUGACUGCGUACCUUUUGUAUAAUGGGUCAGCGACUUAUAUUCUGUAGCAAGGUUAACCGAAUAGGGGAGCCGAAGGGAAACCGAGUCUUAACUGGGCGUUAAGUUGCAGGGUAUAGACCCGAAACCCGGUGAUCUAGCCAUGGGCAGGUUGAAGGUUGGGUAACACUAACUGGAGGACCGAACCGACUAAUGUUGAAAAAUUAGCGGAUGACUUGUGGCUGGGGGUGAAAGGCCAAUCAAACCGGGAGAUAGCUGGUUCUCCCCGAAAGCUAUUUAGGUAGCGCCUCGUGAAUUCAUCUCCGGGGGUAGAGCACUGUUUCGGCAAGGGGGUCAUCCCGACUUACCAACCCGAUGCAAACUGCGAAUACCGGAGAAUGUUAUCACGGGAGACACACGGCGGGUGCUAACGUCCGUCGUGAAGAGGGAAACAACCCAGACCGCCAGCUAAGGUCCCAAAGUCAUGGUUAAGUGGGAAACGAUGUGGGAAGGCCCAGACAGCCAGGAUGUUGGCUUAGAAGCAGCCAUCAUUUAAAGAAAGCGUAAUAGCUCACUGGUCGAGUCGGCCUGCGCGGAAGAUGUAACGGGGCUAAACCAUGCAC
RNAcentral lists this ribosomal RNA (766 nucleotides) under Escherichia coli. RNAcentral's name for it is "partial 23S ribosomal RNA". It matches the Rfam family "Bacterial large subunit ribosomal RNA", at positions 426 to 1194 of the family's 2925-position model. Lineage: Bacteria; Pseudomonadati; Pseudomonadota; Gammaproteobacteria; Enterobacterales; Enterobacteriaceae. The record is from RNAcentral.